RNAcentral lists this ribosomal RNA (322 nucleotides) under uncultured eukaryote. Its description in RNAcentral is "partial 18S ribosomal RNA". It matches the Rfam family "Eukaryotic small subunit ribosomal RNA", at positions 1470 to 1796 of the family's 1831-position model. The record is from RNAcentral.
CCCUUAGAUGUUCUGGGCCGCACGCGUGCUACACUGAGUGGAUCAGCGGGUCAGGUUGCGCGAAAGUGUUUCCUAAUCUUUAAAUCCGCUCGUGAUGGGGAUUGACGGUUGCAAUUUUCCGUCAUGAACGAGGAAUACCUUGUAAGCGCGGGUCAUCAUCCCGCGCUGAAUACGUCCCUGCCCUUUGUACACACCGCCCGUCGCUCCUACCGAUUGAGUGGUCCGGUGAGGCUUUGGGAUUUGAGCGGAAAGAGCGUUUCGCUGUUUCUGCCCGGAAAACUCAGUCGAACCUUAUCAUUUAGAGGAAGGAGAAGUCGUAACA